RNAcentral lists this long non-coding RNA (1508 nucleotides) under Homo sapiens (human). RNAcentral's name for it is "PREDICTED lncRNA (TCONS_00148107)". The record is from RNAcentral. Lineage: Eukaryota; Metazoa; Chordata; Mammalia; Primates; Hominidae.
CUGUGAAGUAUGAAGCAAAGGUAAAAGGCUUGCCCAUAUUAACAGAAAUAGCAAGUGGCAGAGGUAUUCCAGCUCUUAUUUUAACUUUCUUUCUGCAAUAUUUUACCCCUCUGGCCAAAUGAUAGUAUAUCUGUGUAUGAUUUACCUCAGAAAAUUGUGUGGCUGUACACUAAUGCAGUACACAAUUAAUUUUAUGAUGUUAAAUUAAAAAGAAAUGCCAUUCAUCAGACUAUUCCCCCAAAGGACUACUGAAGUUUUAAAAAAUCUUUAGAAAGGAUUCUAAAUCAAUACGAUGUUUAAAGAGUUUAAGCACUCACUGCUGCUUUUCUUGGUCCCCAAGGUCUGGCCAUCUUCUAAAGAGUUUGAACCUACUGAAGAACUAUCUUGACUGUCUUGAUGAGGGAGCUGAAGAAAUCCUUCACUGGAGUCUGAGCGGAAGUGGAAUCUAUUUUCCUUCUUCUUGAAUUUGGAAUGCUUUUGGCCAAGAGAAAGAGGUGGAAGUGAUGGUGUAACAGUUCCAAGUCUAGGCCUCAAGUUGCCUGUGGACUUCCACUCAGACUCUCAGAGCCCUGCUGGAGGAUGGAGAGACCACAUGGAACAGAGAAGGGUUAUCCCACCGAGGCCACCAUAGACCAGCCAGCCCUCAGCGUACAUGCCAGCUAAUUACAGAUGCAGGAGCAAACCCCUGGCCCAUACAUCAGAUUUUGGAAGCAUUGCCUUCUACAGAAUCCACAGUAGUCCGAAGCUCUUCUACGGUUUUUGUCAAACUUUGAUUUUCCAUCUCUAGCUUCAAUAAUCUACUUGAUGUCAACUCAUUCACCUCAUGGCCCAGGGAUUUCUGGGGUGCUAUAAUAUUGAAAAAUACACCAUUGUAUUUACUCUUUACUGUUUUUACUAUGUUUACUCUUUACUAUUUAAAAAGUUGAGUGUAUAUGCAUUGCAUCAUCUGAUCCUUAACUUUAUUAAAAAUUCAAUGAGGUUAUAUAAGAUAAACAAGAUAAAAGAAGUAAAUCUUUUUUUUCCUUUUCUUUUUUUCUUUUUUUUAAAGAGACGGGGUCUCUCUCUGUCACCCAGGCUGGAGUGCAGUGAUGUGCUCCUAGCUCACUGCAGCCUCAAACGCCUGGUCUGAAGGGAUCCUCCCACCUCAGUCUCCCAAGCGGCCGGGACUGCAGGUACAGCCAGCUAAUUUUUUUAUUUUUUAGUAAAGACUGGGUCUCUGUUACUUAGGCUGGUCUCGAACUCCUGAGCUCAAGCAAUCCUCCUGCCUUGGCCUCCCAAAGUGCUGGGAUUACAGGCAUGAGCCGCUGCACCCAGCUAAGAGAUACAUGUUUAACUUUUAAUGCAUCCACAGCAUUCUAGUUAAAAAAAGCAUAAAAUUUAGAUUGAAGAAAUUGGAGUUCAAGCAGACCCAUUAAAUAUUUUGCUGAUAUAAGAACAUUAGGAUUUACAAAUGAAAUAUGAGACCUACUAUUUCAAGAAAGGAAAUGAAUAAAGGUACUGGAGAGAAU